AGAGAAGACACGACACAAAACACUUCCACAUCCCAUGUGCCAGGGGGCAGUGUGUUGGCAUGCACCUGUGUUUGCUGUGAGAGAAGAUAAGCAGAUGCAUGGGGGCUUGCUCGCUCUCUGACACAACACUAACGUCGACCGACGCGAGAGGACGCUUGUGGGGCUCCGUCGCUGAAGCGCGUAGUUUAAACCUACAUACCGACCAUCAUCCAGCUGAGGCUGUUUUCACAGCUUCCGUGAACUAACCUACCACUGUUUGUGCUGGCCGCCAUCGGACUAAGACAGGGCCGGCCCCCGACAGGUGAGUGCAGGCUGUGGAGACCAUCCAUCUGAUGUGCAGGCUUCCUACCAGAGACACCCUGCCCCUGUACCCUGUACCAUCUGGGUCCUGCUGGAUCUUCUCGUUCUCAUACAGCAGGACUG
Molecule: long non-coding RNA, 423 nt
Organism: Alosa alosa (allis shad)
Lineage: Eukaryota; Metazoa; Chordata; Actinopteri; Clupeiformes; Clupeidae
Exons: 3
Source: RefSeq, a predicted model, not a curated record